AAUAUUGGACAAUGGGGGCAACCCUGAUCUAGCCAUGCCGCGUGUGUGAAGAAGGUCUUCGGAUUGUAAAGCACUUUAUGUUGGGAGGAGGGGCUCUAGGUUAAUACCCUGAAGUUUUGACGUUACCAACAGAAUAAGCACCGGCUAACUCUGUGUCAGCAGCCGCGGUAAUACAUAGGGUGCAAGCGUUAAUCGGAAUUACUGGGCGUAAAGCGAGCGUAGGUGGCUUGAUAAGUCAGAUGUUAAAUCCCCGGGCUUAACCUGGGAACUGCUUUCAUAACUGCUGAGCUAGAGUACGGUAGAGAGUAGUGGAAUUUCCUGUGUAGCGGUGAAAUGCGUAGAUAUAGGAAGGAACACCAGUGGCGAAGGCGACUACCUGGACUGAUACUGACACUGAGGUGCGAAAGCGUGGGGAGCAAAC
RNAcentral lists this ribosomal RNA (421 nucleotides) under uncultured bacterium. RNAcentral describes it as "partial 16S ribosomal RNA". It matches the Rfam family "Bacterial small subunit ribosomal RNA", at positions 360 to 773 of the family's 1533-position model. The record is from RNAcentral.